UACGUAGGGGGCAAGCGUUAUCCGGAUUUACUGGGUGUAAAGGGAGCGUAGACGGCAAUGCAAGUCUGGAGUGAAAGCCCGAGGCCCAACCACGGGACUGCUCUGGAAACUGCGGGGCUGGAGUGCAGGAGGGGUAAGCGGAAUUCCUAGUGUAGCGGUGAAAUGCGUAGAUAUUAGGAGGAACACCGGUGGCGAAGGCGGCUUACUGGACUGUAACUGACGUUGAGGCUCGAAGGCGUGGGGAGCAAACAGG
RNAcentral lists this ribosomal RNA (253 nucleotides) under uncultured bacterium. Its description in RNAcentral is "partial 16S ribosomal RNA". It matches the Rfam family "Bacterial small subunit ribosomal RNA", at positions 524 to 776 of the family's 1533-position model. The record is from RNAcentral.